Molecule: microRNA, 21 nt
Filed under: Selaginella moellendorffii
Lineage: Eukaryota; Viridiplantae; Streptophyta; Lycopodiopsida; Selaginellales; Selaginellaceae
Source: RNAcentral
UUGAGUCGCGCCAAUAUCAUG